CAACAAUCUAGGUUUAAUGCAUGUAUACUAUUUUAUAAUUCCCCUGCUCUUCUCUAACACCAGGGCAAAUUGAACCUCAAUAUAAAACAGCCUGUCUUUACUUGAUUUGGAUUCCACAACAAAAAAGUGCACUAGAUGCCUUACAUAUGAUAUUGUGACACAUGACAUUUAGAGCCAUCAGCUUAACACCGAUAAGACAACUAAAACGCCUUUGAUCCAAUAAAAUCUGAAUUAUAUCCUCUGCUCCUUAACAGGGCCUGUAGCUACUAUGAUGGUGCCUUCUAUUUGGAAUGAUACUUGCUUAUCAUAAUUGUUGUUGAGACUUGUAUGUUAACCUGGCAUCUUGGAAUUGUGCUGCAGAAGCCAUUGUCCCCUAUUAUAUCAAAUGAACCACUAAUGUACUGUGCAUGGCAGAAGUGAUAUUGGCAAUCCCUUUAUUUAAGUAACGAAAACUGUAACUUCAAAUAAAA
Molecule: non-coding RNA, 470 nt
Organism: Pelobates cultripes (western spadefoot toad)
Lineage: Eukaryota; Metazoa; Chordata; Amphibia; Anura; Pelobatidae
Source: the annotation of a GenBank genome assembly